UGGGGAAUCUUCCGCAAUGGGCGAAAGCCUGACGGAGCAACGCCGCGUGAAUGAAGAAGGCCUUCGGGUCGUAAAGUUCUGUCUUUUGGGACGAAGGCUCUAUCUGUAAAUAAUGGAUAGAGAUGACGGUACCAAAGGAGGAAGCUCCGGCUAACUACGUGCCAGCAGCCGCGGUAAUACGUAGGGAGCGAGCGUUGUCCGGAAUUACUGGGCGUAAAGGGCGCGUAGGCGGGUAUUUAAGUCAGAUGUGAAAAUCCCAGGCUCAACUUGGGAACUGCAUUUGAAACGGGGUAUCUUGAGGGCAGGAGAGGAAAGUGGAAUUCCUAGUGUAGCGGUGAAAUGCGUAGAUAUUAGGAGGAACACCAGUGGCGAAGGCGACUUUCUGGACUGUACCUGACGCUGAUGCGCGAAAGCGUGGGGAGCGAACG
This 428-nucleotide ribosomal RNA is filed under the name uncultured prokaryote. RNAcentral describes it as "bacterial SSU rRNA". It matches the Rfam family "Bacterial small subunit ribosomal RNA", at positions 355 to 774 of the family's 1533-position model. The record is from RNAcentral.